This 532-nucleotide long non-coding RNA is filed under the name Cyanistes caeruleus (blue tit). RNAcentral's name for it is "lncRNA (ENSCCEG00000004063.1)". The record is from RNAcentral. Lineage: Eukaryota; Metazoa; Chordata; Aves; Passeriformes; Paridae.
CAAGGGGUGACAGUAUCCCCAGGGGGGUGACAGUGUCCCCAAGGGGUGACAGUGUCCCCAGGGGGUGUCAUUGUCCCCAAGGGGUGUCAUUGUCCCCAAGGGGGGGUGUCAUUGUCCCCAAGGGGUGUCAGUGUCCCCAGGAGGAGUGUCAGUGUCCCCAGGGGGGUGUCAUUGUCCCCAGGGGGGUGACAAAGCCCAGCCGGGUGACAAAGCUCCGGUUUAUUUACAAACUGCUGGGGGGAGGUGGCACCGUCCCUGUCCCCUCUGUCCCCUCUGUCCCCUGUGAGGCCUCGGCCUGGCAGGAGCGGUGUCACCUCCCGAUGUCACCUCCCGAUGUCACCUCCGGUGGCACCUCCUGGUGGCACCUCCUGGGUCACAUCUGUGGUGUCCCCAAUGCCACAUCCGUGAUGUCCCCAAUGUCACAUCUCGGUGUCUCUGAUGUCACUCCUGUGGUGUCCCCAGUGUCACAUCCUGGGUGUCCUCGAUGUCACUCCUGUGGUGUCCCCAAUGUCUGUCACAUCCAUGGUGUCCU